Molecule: non-coding RNA, 23 nt
Filed under: Arabidopsis thaliana (thale cress)
Lineage: Eukaryota; Viridiplantae; Streptophyta; Magnoliopsida; Brassicales; Brassicaceae
Source: RNAcentral
AGAAAUUGGUACUUUUUGGCCCA